RNAcentral lists this long non-coding RNA (564 nucleotides) under Monodelphis domestica (gray short-tailed opossum). RNAcentral describes it as "lncRNA (ENSMODG00000046841.1)". The record is from RNAcentral. Lineage: Eukaryota; Metazoa; Chordata; Mammalia; Didelphimorphia; Didelphidae.
AACUAUGAACCUUCCACCUACAUGAAGGGGAAGUGCUGCCAUGUUCUGGACUUUAAGUGGAUUAAUACCAUACCAUGGAUAAAACAAGAACAUUGGAAAAACAAGACCUCACCAUUCACAGAAAAAAAUCCUAAUUCAACAAGUUUUUCAUCAUUAAAAAAAAAGCCACUGAGGAUCUCAUCCCUAGCCAAGUGACAUUUUCUUCACUCUUUCAUUGGAUAAAAGGACAUCCAACUAAACUCUAGCAGCAACUCCAUUGGUAGAACUCACUGGCAUCUUAGGAGAACCCACGUGGGCUGAAUGGAUGCUAAUUUAUGCAUAUUUACAGACAACUAACUCCACAACUCCUAUGUGCUACACCGCUUUGUGAGUUCAAAGUUAACCUUCCAACAACAACAGGAGAAGAAUUUUAAUCGAAAAAGAUAAUGCCAGUGGUUGGCAGACGGGCUUUUUUUGGGGGGCUGUUCUAUUAAGAAAUCACUGGAAUGGCUUUGUAGCAAUUGUAACAGAUUCUUAUUUAAAUGAGAUUUUUUUUUUUAAUAAAGGGAAAAUCAUCCGAGUUUG